UUUUUUUUUUUUUUUUUGUAAUUUCAAUUUUUUCUUAAGAUCAACGGUAAUCAGAUCUAAUUUCCUGUAUUUCGACUCCUAAUAUUUAAUUAUUAAUUUUCAUAAACAAUUUUGAUUUUAGUAUCAAUUAUAACUAAAUUUAGAAGGGUAUAUGAUAAAAUUCACGCUGUAUAUAUUUUAUUCAAGGAAAGUUUCAUAUAAGUAUAUAAUAAAAUGUAUUGAAAAUUUAAAUGUAAAAACCUUUUUGAAGUAAAAUUAUUUUCUUGUUUUGAGUAAAAGAUGAUACAUAUGGGUGCAAGGCACUUAAAAGGCUCAGGAGGUCUACCCAAAAGGGUGAGAUGAAGGGAUCCAUUCUCUCGUAAUCAGUGGUUUCGAGUUCGAGUUUUGGGUGUGAAACACUUUUAAAAUUUGGGAUGGAGCAUUUUGCCUUCCUUUGUGGAUUUGUUAGGUGUGAACUCGAAUUAAUUGAGCAAGUGAAUUUCGAAUAUCAAGUGAUUGUUAU
RNAcentral lists this unclassified non-coding RNA (502 nucleotides) under Hevea brasiliensis (rubber tree). The record is from RNAcentral. Lineage: Eukaryota; Viridiplantae; Streptophyta; Magnoliopsida; Malpighiales; Euphorbiaceae.